GUGUAAAGGCUAUACUGGACUAUAUAAGGAUAAGCUUUGCAAAACCUUUCGACAAAACAAAGCAGAAAAGUUAAAAUCGCUCAGCAUACAGAAAGACAUACUGCAUAUCCAGGGAGAUCAUAUUUCUUUGAAUCAACAAAAGCAUGACCAACCUUCCACAUCUUUUACAUGAGGCGCUGCUCUCAAGGCUCAGACCAACACCAUUACAGUAGCAAGCCCAAGAACUUUAGCAUGCCACAAGAAUGGCCCUAUAUAUUUCAAACUUCUAUAGAAAAAUAGGUAGUAGAGGGGAAUAAAAAAAAAGACCACGGUAACCAUCAAAACAAAAGGUUCUCUACAAAAUGUACCCCAAAACCCGAUUCAGCAUUUUCAGUCUGCACACUUGACCAAAACACAAGCCUCAAAUACCUUCAUUUCCAUAAACAUAGAUACAGGCAUUUACCACCUGAGAAUUCCCUCAAUUGGUAAAACACACCGAGUAUAAUAACAGCCAAAGAGAGCGAUGCAUAAUCCAA
Long non-coding RNA from Populus euphratica (Euphrates poplar), 515 nucleotides. RefSeq lists it as uncharacterized. The record is from RefSeq and is a predicted model, not a curated record. NCBI's taxonomy places the organism in Eukaryota, Viridiplantae, Streptophyta, Magnoliopsida, Malpighiales, Salicaceae. The transcript has 2 exons.